GGGGUUGACUGGAUUUGACAGCGGGCCGAAAUGGUGCGUAAGCAUGCAGAGCCUCGGUGGUUAGCUCUUUAAUCUUAGCGACCAAAAAAUUAAUUGGCGAAAACAAUUACGCUCUCGCUGCCUAAUCGAAGUACAGUAGAUUACUGGCUUUAUCGCGUCACAAGGUGAUGCGACGAGACACCGCUCCAAGGAUGUUGUUCCGAAUCUGAGGAUAAAGUGGUGCAGGUAAAUCGGAAAUAGUUUGGGUAGGCCUCGAUGUCCAAAUGAAAUUUUAGAGGAUAAGGCAUCGGUUGGUGGUCCAGGUCUUGCCGUUGCUCGAAAAACAAAGGCUGGAAUAAGCAUGUAGAAAGCGUAUGGUUUCCCUGUUUGGACGAGGGUUCGAAUCCCUCCAGCUCCAC
This 398-nucleotide transfer-messenger RNA is filed under the name uncultured Prevotella sp. It matches the Rfam family "transfer-messenger RNA". Rfam says of the family: Bacterial tmRNA, also known as 10Sa RNA or SsrA, is named for its dual tRNA and mRNA-like properties. Its role is to liberate the mRNA from a stalled ribosome. The record is from RNAcentral. Lineage: Bacteria; Pseudomonadati; Bacteroidota; Bacteroidia; Bacteroidales; Prevotellaceae.